GAUAGGUUCAAUCAAACCUCCAAACUCACCUCGAAUCACUCAGUAAAUAGACCCCAUUCUGAUGUUUUCUACCGCCAAACAAGGGAGACAAAAGCUGCUGCUCUUAAUUCACAGAUGAGAAAUGGGCAAAGCAUUCCAUUCAUUCCUUUUCUUAUGAUGACUGAUUGCAAAAGGCUUCCUUGCACAUGUUCUGCUGAGAUGAGGAGGAGGAGGAGGAGAAGGAAGAGAAAAUGGAACAGUGAGCCACAGACGGCUAAUCACGUCCGGAACCAAAAGCACCUGCCCUAUCUGCCUCUACAUUUG
Long non-coding RNA from Sinocyclocheilus anshuiensis, 303 nucleotides. RefSeq lists it as uncharacterized. NCBI's taxonomy places the organism in Eukaryota, Metazoa, Chordata, Actinopteri, Cypriniformes, Cyprinidae. The record is from RefSeq and is a predicted model, not a curated record. The transcript has 3 exons.